RNAcentral lists this unclassified non-coding RNA (35 nucleotides) under Leishmania tarentolae. RNAcentral describes it as "guide RNA". Lineage: Eukaryota; Euglenozoa; Kinetoplastea; Trypanosomatida; Trypanosomatidae. The record is from RNAcentral.
UAAAAUAAUCCAAUUAAAAUUAGAGUGCAAAAUGU